Gorilla gorilla gorilla (western lowland gorilla) is the source of this 303-nucleotide long non-coding RNA. RefSeq lists it as uncharacterized. The record is from RefSeq and is a predicted model, not a curated record. Lineage: Eukaryota; Metazoa; Chordata; Mammalia; Primates; Hominidae. The transcript has 3 exons.
AUCAGAUAUCCUGCCAGAAUACAAAAUUUAUUGCAAAUUCCAAUGGUCAACCCAACCAGACCUCUGAAUUCUGUUCAUAGGUAGAAAUACAAACCCUGAAGAAAGGACUUCCAGUGACACCUUCCCUGAACCUCUCCAUGCAGUUCCUUCUACUCAGCACUCAGCCUUAUUGCAGAGACCGACACAGUACUUAAGAGUCCUUCAGGAGAAGGAAGAAGGAGAUUUGAGACCCAGAGAAACAGAGGAAGAGGCCAUGUGAACAUGGAAGCAGAGACUGGAGGGCAAUCAUGAACUAAAAACCAC